RNAcentral lists this ribosomal RNA (504 nucleotides) under uncultured bacterium. RNAcentral describes it as "partial 16S ribosomal RNA". It matches the Rfam family "Bacterial small subunit ribosomal RNA", at positions 28 to 523 of the family's 1533-position model. The record is from RNAcentral.
GAUAAACGCCAGCGGCAGGCUUAACACAUGCAAGUCGAGGGGCAGCAUAGAUUGUAGCAAUACAAUUGGUGGCGACCGGCGCACGGGUGCGUAACGCGUAUGCAACCUACCCGUCACAGGGGGAUAAUCCGGAGAAAUCUGGUCUAAUACCCCAUAACAUAUGGAUCGGCAUCGGUUCAUGUUGAAAUUUUCGGAGGUGACGGAUGGGCAUGCGUAGCAUUAGCUUGUUGGUGAGGUAACGGCUCACCAAGGCGACGAUGCUUAGGGGGACUGAGAGGUUUUCCCCCCACACUGGUACCGAGACACGGACCAGACUCCUACGGGAGGCAGCAGUGAGGAAUAUUGGUCAAUGGGCGCAAGCCUGAACCAGCCAUGCCGCGUGCAGGAUGACGGCUCUAUGAGUUGUAAACUGCUUUUGUACGAGGGUAAAGUAGGUUACGUGUAACCUUUUGGAAGUAUCGUACGAAUAAGGAUCGGCUAACUCCGUGCCAGCCGCCGCAGUAA